UUUUUUUAAUUUUUUAAAGUUUAUUUAUUUAUUUUGAGAGAAAGAGAAUGAGUGAGGGAGGGGCAGAGACAGAGGGAGAGAGAGGAUUCCAAGUGGGCUCCUCCAUGCUGAGCACAGAGCCUGACUCAGGGCACAUUCUCACAAUUGUGAGGUCAUGACCUGAGCCAAUACCAUCUGCCCAACCAACUGAGCCACCCAGGGGCCCCCAGAAGUUCUGUUUAUAACUUCUGUGUGUUCUAGCAAUACCCAAACACUUGGCGUGUCUGCCAGCACCUUGCUUGUUCAUACCUCUGUGCCUUUGCAAAUGCUAUUCCCUCAAUCCAAGCAUUCCAGCUGCUUAGUUUCCCUCAGAGAAGACCUUGUGAACUUUGGGGGAAUAAGUGAACAGGUGACCAUAUAAUCAAGGACUGACUGUACCGGGAUCACUUCCUGUCUUCCUUGAUUCUCCCUUGAAUCCUUGUCUUACGCCCUUUCACUAAGUUAUUCAAGGAAGAUUGUCAAGUGCCACAAGGUCACCCGGAAACGCACUCUGCAGUCCAGAGGGCACAGAGAUGGGCACAGCGCACGCAGUCCCUGAAGAGCCCACCUGCUCUCACCGCACCUUCCAGCAACGGGAACACCCCUAACUUAAUGCUAAAAGCCCACCUGCAAUCAGAGAUGACCUGUGGAUAUACAGGUCUAUGGCAGUCCAGAUCGAAUCCUUUCUUUUUCACAAGUAGUAAAUCGUAAGGAAAACCUCUUUUCACAGUGGUAAAUGCUUGUCUGCCUCUCUUUUUGCUUCAUCCCAGCAGCUUAGUGACACUCAACUUAUUUCUUUGUCCUUAGAUUGAAAAAAAAAAUUUUUUUUUUGAUCUUGCAACUCAAAUGGUAGUUAGAUGCCUCGUAAAUAUUUCCCCUGCAUCUAGUGUCUCUGCCACGCCAGGUCCUUCCACAUAACAUGGUAGAUUUCAUCUUUUUUAAAUGCCACCUAAAAACUAUCAUCAGAGGCUAUCCAUAUACCCAGAAGCAGCUCCAAGUGCCAUGGCUAGAAGUCAAAGGCGUCUAAGGCCUGGC
Molecule: long non-coding RNA, 1053 nt
Filed under: Felis catus (domestic cat)
Lineage: Eukaryota; Metazoa; Chordata; Mammalia; Carnivora; Felidae
Description: lncRNA (ENSFCAG00000053848.1)
Source: RNAcentral